Molecule: long non-coding RNA, 1501 nt
Organism: Anguilla rostrata (American eel)
Lineage: Eukaryota; Metazoa; Chordata; Actinopteri; Anguilliformes; Anguillidae
Exons: 2
Source: RefSeq, a predicted model, not a curated record
AAACCUCCGGUCGUCAGGCCCCCCGUCCGUAUAAAGAUUCUGCUAUUCUUAUACGAGAAUUUUUAAUAAAUUAAAAACACCCUUCGCCGUUUAAGUGAAUUUAUCAAAUUUACAUGACGGGCAUUUAGCAGACAGAGCGACUCACACAGCAUAUCAUUUGCAUUGAAUACUUUGUAGCCGCUAGAGGUGGGCAGGUAAUUAGAUGACAAGGUAACGUCAUACGCGAAUAUAGCGAGCCGUCAAUUUUGGGGUCCUCACAAUCUUACAACGUUUUGUGCCGGUCCCGUGUUAGGACUGCAGGUUAUUUUGCCUAUCGGGAAGUGCAUGUAUUGUAUGUAAGCUGGAGAAGCCACGGUUGGAGAUGACGUGGCCAGCGUUGACUGACCUUACCGCAUACAGUCAUUGAGAGCCAUCCGGUAAUGUAGAUUGUUUUAUUCAUGCUUUUAUAUUGGUGGCUGGCUUCUCGGUUUGGGUGUGGAUGCUUUCUGUGCAUGUAGCUUGAGCAGUGCCUUUUGUUUUGCUUAUAGGUUUAUUUUGAGUAGGUGGCCGAUGCAUGGAUUGACCGCUGUUCCUUCCUUUCGUUUUAUGUACUUGUUGCAAAUUAGCUGCCCAGCUACCACGAGUGAGAGUGCUUCCGCUCAUAGUAUCUGGCCUUGUGUUGAUUAGCUAAUGCGCGGAGCUGGUCGGCUAGCUUGAGCAUUUCUUUUUGUUUAAUUGUUUUUUGUUUUCAUGUUAGCCAUUCUCCCCCGCUCUAACUCAAUCAGCUAACCCAGUCUUGCUUUAACUAUUCUUCGUGCUUUGCCUGCCAUUAAUUCGAGGGGCUUGUCUAUCUGCAUGCUGUUGGGUUUGCUUUCCGCCCCUUCUAGAUUGCUGUGCUUGACUAAGAGCGUUUGGAUUUGCUUUAACUAUUUGUGUGUUCUUCUACUUUGCUCUGCGAAGUUUGCAGUGUGAUUACAAUUGCAGUGUACCUUAAUGGAGUGUGUCAUUAACAGGUGUAUAUAUUCCCUUCUUUAAGGUCGCAGCAAACACAAGUAAGGUACAAGCCAGCUGGGUAGUCUGUUUGCAGUAAGGGGUGGAAAUGUUAAAUGUUGUGUAUGUUAUUUCUCAUUAAACCAUUUUAUCAAUUGGAGAAAAUAAAGGAAGCUAGCAUUUUGCUAUCUUCCCUACCAUAGUUUUUAAAACAAAAAAUGAAAUUAAUGUUAAUAAAAGGGAUCUGUUUUUUUUCUCUUUUACUCGAGACUCCUGUCGUUCAUACUUGCGUUGGUAACAACAUUAAUACAGUUGUAUAUAUUCUGGAGCAAUGCAGGCGAAGUACCUUAUUUAAGGGUGUAACGGCAAUGUCCCAUCUGGGAAUCAAACCUGCAACCUUUAGGUUGCGAGACCACCUCCUUACGACAGUAGAGAAACUUUUUAAAUGAAAUUGUAUCAGUGCAAACUUGCUGAACUCCCUGUUGGUUUAGGCUGGCUGUAUUUUUGAAUUAUUAAAACCUUUGAAUUGGUA